CUGGACCAUUAUAAAUAAGAAGAUGCGAUAUGAGUGCUAUCGAGACAACUAUCCAACAAACUCACAGUGUAAAAAUACAUUUGUCUGCAACACCGUCGCACUGCCUUUGAAAAAUUAGCGGGGAAAUAUAACGUUACGUCCCGAAACGUCUUAAUUUUUGGCGCAAUUUGUGAGGCGUACGGAAGGGAUUGAGUAAACAAUAU
RNAcentral lists this long non-coding RNA (203 nucleotides) under Mytilus galloprovincialis (Mediterranean mussel). The record is from RNAcentral. Lineage: Eukaryota; Metazoa; Mollusca; Bivalvia; Mytilida; Mytilidae.